UGGAAACAGAUCAAAGAAACUUGUCGUUUCUCUACAAAAAUAGUUGACGUAAAUUAUAAAUUUAAUUGUCAACCCUAAAAAAUUAAUUUAUCAUAAUUUAAUUAAUAAACUAGUUUGUGUGUCCAUCAAAUUGCCCGUGGAAAUAUUAAAAUGAGCAACAGUGGCCGCAGAUCUGUCAUCAAUCUAACCUAAAGUUCAUUUGUCAAUAAAAAUAAAUUGAAUAUAUCAAGAAUAAGACACGAAUUCGUAAAAAAAAAAACAAUUCAGUCGAUCUAUAGAUAUUUUUAAUAGUCACUCUUCGAUUCGUCCAUUGCCUACUCAAUCAAAGGAAUUUUUUUUUACCUCAACUUCAGUAAGAGGAUAUCGGCGAAUUGAUUGAAGCAGCUGAAAUUUUAUUCUGAUAUCAAUUCGUAAAAAAAAAAACAAUUCAGUCGAUCUAUAGAUAUUUUUAAUAGUCACUCGUUGAUUCGUCCAUUGCCUACUAAAUAAAAGGAAUUUUUUUUACCUCAACUUCAGUAAGAGGAUAUCGGCGAAUUAAUUGAAGCAGCGGAAAUUUUAUUCUGAUAUCAAUAAAAAAAAACGAUUGUGAAGCUCUUCUACUUGAGGCAGGGAUAAAAACUGAGAUCUUCUAAAAUUUUAGUCUGAAAAAUGUAUCAUAGAACAAGACCACAUGCAACUGCAAUUUAAAAAGCCGAAUUUUAUUCCUGAAAAAUUGAUUUUGAAUUUGUUUUUUCAAGACACAAUAAAUUUAUAUGUAUGAAAUCAAAGUGUCAAGAAUCAUUUAUU
Microplitis mediator is the source of this 786-nucleotide long non-coding RNA. RefSeq lists it as uncharacterized. The transcript is spliced from 4 exons. The record is from RefSeq and is a predicted model, not a curated record. Lineage: Eukaryota; Metazoa; Arthropoda; Insecta; Hymenoptera; Braconidae.